AAUACCUCCUAGAGUGGCUGACUGGUGAGUAACACGUGGUGGACAUACCCUCGGAUGGGGAUAGCUAAUUAGAAAUAGUAGAGUAAUACCGAAUACGAGCACAGGGGUUAGAGGAUCUGUGAGGAAAGGAGCUAAAGGCUCCGCUGAAGGAAUGGCCUGCGGCCCAUUAGCUAGUGGUGAGGUAAGAGCCCACCAAGGCGAUGAUGGGUAUCCGGCCUUAGAGGGUGAACGGACACAUUGGGACUGAGAUACGGCCCAGACUCCUACGGGAGGCAGCAGCUAAGAAUAUUCCGCAAUGGACGAAAGUCUGACGGAGCGACGCCGCGUGGAUGAAGAAGGCCGGAAGGUUGUAAAAAUCCUUUUGAAACUGAAGAAUAAGCGUUGUAGGGAAUGACAGCGUGGUGACAGUAGGUUUUGAAUAAGCAACGGCUAAUUACGUGCCAGCAGCCGC
RNAcentral lists this ribosomal RNA (451 nucleotides) under uncultured bacterium. Its description in RNAcentral is "bacterial SSU rRNA". It matches the Rfam family "Bacterial small subunit ribosomal RNA", at positions 81 to 518 of the family's 1533-position model. The record is from RNAcentral.